GAUCAGAUAGUAGCGAUCUAAUUUAGACCAUCUUUUUAGGAUCUUUUCUUUUAAUGGGAUGGAAAUAAGUUGUUUGGCUGGUUCAUCCCUUUUUUAUUUUCUCUCUCAUUCAGUUUAUCAACUGACAAAGAGUCUUCAGGUUGACAGUUCUUUCCAGAGACCAUAAAGCAAUAUCGGAUAAGUUGUUGAUCUCAACAUAUUUUGCCAACUCCAUUUCUUGUCGAAAAUCAGACCAAUAAGUGGUAUGUUGAUACUACCACUCUCAAGGCA
RNAcentral lists this long non-coding RNA (270 nucleotides) under Elaeis guineensis (African oil palm). Its description in RNAcentral is "long non-coding RNA (EGUI_LNC032979)". The record is from RNAcentral. Lineage: Eukaryota; Viridiplantae; Streptophyta; Magnoliopsida; Arecales; Arecaceae.